Rhopilema esculentum is the source of this 915-nucleotide non-coding RNA. NCBI's taxonomy places the organism in Eukaryota, Metazoa, Cnidaria, Scyphozoa, Rhizostomeae, Rhizostomatidae. The record is from RefSeq and is a predicted model, not a curated record.
CUCAAUUGGGGAUAAGAAUCAGGGUCGGUAACUGUUUGCAAAAGGUAAAGCCCUCUUUUAUUUGAACGCUUGUAUGUGGAAGAAGAUGGGAAUUUUUUGACCGGGCGAAAUGCGUUUAGUAAAGCGAAAUUCUUUGCACAUUUCAAAUAAUUUUAUGAUAUGACGUCUCUGGUGAUAACUCAUUCAUGAUUCCUGCCAAGCUACUUUAACUUUUACCAGCAAGCUCAAAAUUACUCUUCAGCCAAUAUUUUUGGGCAAUUUGCACAGCAGAGCACUGAGAGUGUGGUCGAAAACACGUUAAAUUUGUUUGAAAACAUGUAUCGUGGUCAUAUGGUGCAAAUAACGCAUGGGAACCUGUGAAAACAUUGGAAACUAUAAAACCCUCCUCUCGCUCGCAAAAAAUUACUGAUCGACAAAUAUUCGAAAGUGAACAUUCGAGUUUCAAAAUGGCAAGACAAGCUUUAUUGAUGUGUUUCUUUCUGCUUGCUGUGGCAACGUUCUGCUCUGCACAGCAAAUGCCAGGAGAAAUCGUGGAAAUGACAAAAGAUGAGAUUGAAAAAGAUGACAUUCUCCACGCAGGAGUGACUUUUGCAGUGACAGAGUACAAUUCCAAAACCAACUCGAGACUUAUUGCUACAGAAAUUUUACAAGCCACAAGACAGGUUGUUGCUGGCAUCAAAUAUGUAGCCCUUGUUGAGUUGCGACCACGGCUUUGCGUGCAUGAUCCCAAACUCAAGAUUGCUCCAUGCCCACCACAGCUAAACUUGCCAACCAGAUGUGUGUUUGACAUCCUUCAUCAAGCUUGGAUGCCUUUGAAAUACACAGUUCUGUCUACAAAGUGCUUUAGAGCGCAGUGAACAUUAAUCUUAAGAAUUUGUCUGUAAGCAAAUUAUAAUUCAUGAAGAAGAAAAGUAA